Peromyscus eremicus (cactus mouse) is the source of this 2911-nucleotide long non-coding RNA. RefSeq lists it as uncharacterized. The transcript has 2 exons. NCBI's taxonomy places the organism in Eukaryota, Metazoa, Chordata, Mammalia, Rodentia, Cricetidae. The record is from RefSeq and is a predicted model, not a curated record.
CCUGUGAAGUGAGGCACUUCGGACUCUAAGUUUCCAAAGUUUUGAGGUACACAGACAGUUUUCUUUAUGCAUUUCCCAUCUCAGUUCUUUUCUUAUGGCAAUGAAGCUGUCAUACUGUCAUAGCUAGUGAGACCUCCCUUAAGUGGAGACCCUGUUCCAGAGAAGGAAGCAUGCUUCAUGUACUCAGACACCUGUGCACUCCAGAAUACACUGCUUAGCGUGGUGCCCACACUGAAACCCCAGUAGAGAGAUGUGAGUGGACUUUAGAUCCAGUGCAAAGAGAAGUACAGCUGGAGUUCAGCAACCGAGUGAACCCCAGAAUUGCCAUGCCUUGCCUGAGUCACCCCAGGAUUGUGAUGUCUUGUCCUAGUUAUCAGGAGACUCGGCAGCCUGUGAAGCAGCAGAAUGUAUGGCCCUCCCUUAGUCCACUCCAGCAGAAGAGUCACAAGUGACACAGAGAAGCUAUGCGGUCUUCACCCUCCCCCGCCAGGCACUGUCUUACUCCUCCCAGAGAUUUUCCCAGCUAAGCACUCGGAGGACGCCACAGAGAGGCUAAUCAGUUAAGUCUCUAGAAGGAUUAGGUCCCUUUACCGAUGUGGAUCUGCCACUAUUGAUUUUGGCCUAUCACAAAUCCUGUGUAGCCCAUUUCACUUCAGAGGGAGCCUUGGGUUGACAUUGUUAAGGAUCCUGCAGAUAUCUUCAUCUUCAUUGACUUCCGUUAGUGAGACACAGAGUGAGGACGCUCACACCCAGCCCAGUCCUUCGGUGUCUUUCCAAAGCCGGACAACAGUAUUUUCCCCUUUACAGCAACCUUGAAAAGAGCCACUGAAUCCUCCUAAGCUGGGAAUCUGGAAAACCUCUUCUCGGUUUUACACUAGGUCCUUCGGAACAGCUUUUGACAAGAGAGAAGCAAAGAGAAAGAAGCUAAAAGCCUCAGAAAGGCAUUUAAGUAACACUUCGGGAACGGUCAGAAGCCAGGUGUAGCAGCCCCGCGGUAACCCAGUAUUCAGAGUCAGAGCGGGGAGGAUAAUUAGUCCAGGGCAGUGUGAACUACACAACGAAACCCUGUCACAAAAGAGCAAGGAGGCUGGAGAGAUGGUUCAUCAAUUAAAAACAUUGGCUGCUCUUCCAGAGAACCCAGGUUCAAUUCCCAGCACCCACAUGGUGGCUCAUAAUCAGCUGUAACUCUGUUUUCAGGGGGAUCUGAUGCCCUCUUCUGGCCUCUAAAGGCACAGACAUACGUGCAGGCAAAAACAUCCAUGCAUAUAAAAUAAUGGGGUGGGGGAAAAACAACUUUUGGUGCUUGAAUGAGAUGUCCCCCACAAGUCAUGGGCAUUUGAAUACUUGGUCCCCAGUUAUUGGCUGUUUGGGAGGAUAUGGGGGUGUGGACUCACUGGAGGAAGUACGUCACGGGGCGGGGUGGGCUUUGAGGUUUCAGAAGACUCGUUAUUUCUGGUUGGCUCUCUGCUUUCAAUGUGCAGUUUGAGAUGUGAGCUGUAGCAAUUGCCCCAGCUGCCUACCACCUGCUGCCUCUAUCCACCAUCAUGGACUCUAACCCUCUGGAACUGUCAGGUCCAAAUUAAUUCUUUUUUCUAUAAGCUCCCUUGGUCAUGAUGUCUUAUCACUAGAAGAGAAAAGUAGCUAACAUCAACUCAAAACUGUAUACAUGGAACGUGACUACUUGCUACCUGAGAUUCUGUCAUGGCCACCUGCUGGAGAGCCAAACAUGUCCUCCUCACCCUAACCACUAACUCAGAGCUUGUCCCAGUAUGUACAGCUGGCCCAGUGCCUUCUCUGGAUCGUCCCUUUCUGUGGAAGCAUGUGGGGAGGCACCCACUGGUUGACGAGUCAGCCUAUGCAGUGGUCCCAUGCAGGAGAUGUUGCUCCUUUGAAGACACCCAGACUCUGCUUUCAUGGGUCACAGUCACAUCCUGGCCACUGGAUGCCACCCUACUAUUCUGCUUCUAUCCUAAUGCCACGUGUCACAUCUGAGCACAGACGGAGGAGAAAUGGUUGCUCUCAGCCACCAGUGUCCAUCAUCCCUUUCGGUGGGACUCUGUCCUCCCCAUCAGCAACAGCAGUACAGUUUGAGGGGCUGUGUCCCUUCCCCGAGCUGGGGCCCUUUACCGGGCACAUUCAUCUCUGCCAUUACCAGUGUGAAAGUUGACUGAACUGAAAGAGAUUUUGUAGCCUAUUAAGGAAACAGAUCCCCAGAGAGGCCCCAAUUCCACUAAUUCACUGGAAAAGAAAUGAGUGUAGAUUUGGACAGUUGGAUCAUCUUUAAGUUGGGGAAGAUGAGAUGGGUGGGACACCCUCAUAGCAGGGUACACCAAAUGGCCCUCAGUCUACCUGGAAGGUGGGGCCCCUUGCAGAGAACACAGGGAUCUUAGGCGCCCACAUGCUGGUCAGUGUUAUGUGCAUGCCAGGUCUCUGGAUGACAGGAGACACAUUGGCUGUACCACUGUGCUUCUAGGGGGUGCUGUGUGCCUCUUGGUGACAGAAAAGACUACACAUCCUUGGGGGCUGGGAAAUAUUACAAAGGCCUAGACACCCUCUGAGUACAAGCACCUCUGAUCAGAAUGCACAGUCACACUAAACCAUCAUUCCCGACCCUCGUGCACACAAACUCUGCUUCCUGCUGUCCUCUGUGUAUAGCCUUCAGUCAGGGGUGAUGUCAGCCCUGGUGAAAGCAAAUAUAAUUAUGCAGAUGGUCCACAUAGGGAUACGUUGAUUAAAACUCUGGCUAAGGUCUCAGUGAACUAAACCUCCCCAAUAGGAAGGGUGAGGCUAACUGUUAGCACUUAGAAAAACUAACUAAAUACCACUUAUUUGUGAAUUACCACCACCAAAGGUCUGUAAUUAUUAUUAUUACCUUUAAGGAUGGAAAUAAAUCCUUUGAAUGCAAGGUAAA